Molecule: non-coding RNA, 207 nt
Organism: Schizosaccharomyces pombe (fission yeast)
Lineage: Eukaryota; Fungi; Ascomycota; Schizosaccharomycetes; Schizosaccharomycetales; Schizosaccharomycetaceae
Source: the annotation of a GenBank genome assembly
GUUGCGCGGCCAGGUUUCGAUCCUGGGACCUACGGGUUAUGAGCCCGUCGGAGUUCCACUCUCCUACCGCGCACAAAUACCGUCACCAGCAGGAUUUGAACCUGCGCGGGCAGAGCCCAUUAGAUGCCACGAAUGUAGGAAUUCGAGUCUAACUCCUUAACCACUCGGACAUAGUGACUUAUCUGACACUCAUUGUAAAUUAAUAUA